This is a long non-coding RNA of Rhinichthys klamathensis goyatoka, 380 nucleotides long. RefSeq lists it as uncharacterized. Lineage: Eukaryota; Metazoa; Chordata; Actinopteri; Cypriniformes; Leuciscidae. The record is from RefSeq and is a predicted model, not a curated record. The transcript has 2 exons.
UGUGUCAAACAUACAUCACAGUUUACAAAUGCCUUCAGGAUAUCUUCAACAUGCUCAAACAGGAUACUUUAAACUUGCAUUUUUCAGCAAUGACAAUUAACCGAGAAUCAAACCAACACUAACCCUGAUCCGAUAGACCAUUAAACAUUUUGGCAAUUAGUUAGUUAAGUCUUAUACCCAAAUACCAAAAGUUAAAUUAGGUUUUAAAUAAAGAAUGAAGAUAAAUUCUGUGUCCAGGAAUAAUGAUGUGUGGAUAAUCGUAGCCAGAGCAUUUGAUUUAUUCUAGGCUGAAACUAAAAUCAAUGUCUUGUUAUUACAACAUCCCUUUUAUAAAUGCAAGAUUGUAGCCUCAGAUCCUUGUUUGCUACAGGAAGAAUAAA